GACGAACGCUGGCGGCGUGCUUAACACAUGCAAGUCGAACGGAAAGGCCCUGCUUUUGUGGGGUGCUCGAGUGGCGAAAGGGUGAGUAACACGUGAGUAACCUGCCCUUGACUUUGGGAUAACUUCAGGAAACUGGGGCUAAUACCGGAUAGGAGCUCCUGCUGCAUGGUGGGGGUUGGAAAGUUUCGGCGGUUGGGGAUGGACUCGCGGCUUAUCAGCUUGGUGGUGGGGUAGUGGCUUACCAAGGCUUUGACGGGUAGCCGGCCUGAGAGGGUGACCGGCCACAUUGGGACUGAGAUACGGCCCAGACUCCUACGGGAGGCAGCAGUGGGGAAUAUUGCACAAUGGGCGGAAGCCUGAUGCAGCAACGCCGCGUGCGGGAUGACGGCCUUCGGGUUGUAAACCGCUUUCGCCUGUGACGAAGCGUGAGUGACGGUAAUGGGUAAAGAAGCACCGGCUAACUACGUG
Molecule: ribosomal RNA, 468 nt
Filed under: uncultured bacterium
Lineage: Bacteria
Description: partial 16S ribosomal RNA
Rfam family: Bacterial small subunit ribosomal RNA
Source: RNAcentral